This 253-nucleotide ribosomal RNA is filed under the name uncultured bacterium. Its description in RNAcentral is "partial 16S ribosomal RNA". It matches the Rfam family "Bacterial small subunit ribosomal RNA", at positions 524 to 776 of the family's 1533-position model. The record is from RNAcentral.
UACGGAGGGGGCUAGCGUUGUUCGGAAUUACUGGGCGUAAAGGGCACGUAGGCGGCUUGGUAAGUUAGAGGUGAAAGCCCGGGGCUCAACUCCGGAAUUGCCUUUAAGACUGCAUCGCUAGAAUUGUGGAGAGGUAAGUGGAAUUCCGAGUGUAGAGGUGAAAUUCGUAGAUAUUCGGAAGAACACCAGUGGCGAAGGCGACUUACUGGACACAUAUUGACGCUGAGGUGCGAAAGCGUGGGGAGCAAACAGG